CUAAACUAGUGGCCCCAGUUUCUGAAAUUCGGUCCAUGUAUUUUUUCAAAUCCAUGUCUAAAAACUCAAAAACAAGAUACAACUUUGAUUCAGCAUGUAAAAUAUCCAAAAGUCUUAAAAAAGGGUUAGAAACAAAGUUUUAUCAAUGUAAACAUUUCCCAUGCAUCCGUCAAGUAAAAACUUACCGAACACAAUUUGAUCGAUUAUUCUCAUCAUUCACUUCUUUAAGAAGCGAAAUUUCACGAAUAGCUGUGCUAGGAACUCCCUCAGAUUCAUCUUCAAGGCGAAUUUUUUUCAUGGCCACAAUACGCCCUGACAAUUUAUGUCUUGCUUUAUAAACAACGCCAUAGGUUCCUAGCAUUAGUCAGUAUACGUGACAGAAAAGAAAUUGGAUAAGUCAUAGCUUCCUCAGUUACACCUACCUUCCCCAAUUUUUUCGACUUUUUGAUAAUUCUCCAUUGCAAACCACUAAAAGAAGCAACCUAGCGGUAUGUUUUUUGGAAAAUAAUUUUUCUAAUAUCUGUUAAUAGAGAUGCGAGAAUGAUCUCAAAAUACGUUUAUACAAAUUUGCUUAUGUUGUGUUGUGCUGUGGGUAAGCUUGCUCAACUAGCGAUAGACUAGUGGAAACGCAGAGGACUAUUAUCAAACCGAACUUAGGGCUAGCGCUUCAUGUUUCUAACUUAUGAAUUAUACUGUUAUCAAAAAUGAAAUUAGAAAAGUAGGACAUAACUCAUUACUUGCAAUUUAUACUAGGUGAUCAGAUAUGAAGAACUACAUAAUCAAAACAUCAUCUGAAGACAUUGUAUAACCGUG
Schizosaccharomyces pombe (fission yeast) is the source of this 813-nucleotide non-coding RNA. The record is from the annotation of a GenBank genome assembly. NCBI's taxonomy places the organism in Eukaryota, Fungi, Ascomycota, Schizosaccharomycetes, Schizosaccharomycetales, Schizosaccharomycetaceae.